CCUACGGGAGUCAGCAGUGAGGAAUAUUGGUCAAUGGACGGAAGUCUGAACCAGCCAUGCCGCGUGCAGGGAGACGUCUCUAUGAGUUGUCAACUGCUUUUGUACAAGGGUAAACCUGAAUACGUGUAUUCAGCUGAAAGUACUGUACGAAUAAGAAUCGGCUAACUCCGUGACAGCAGCCGCGGUAAUACGGAGGAUCCAAGCGUUAUCCGGAUUUAUUGGGUUUAAAGGGUGCGUAGGCGGAUUUAUAAGUUAGAGGUGAAAUGUUCGGGCGUAAUUCGGGAACUGCCUUUAAUACUGUUGAGCGAGAGAGUAGAUGCGGUAGGCGGAAUGUAUGGUGUAGCGGUGAAAUGCUUAGAGAUCAUACAGAACACCGAUGGCGAAGGCAGCUUACCAAUCUAUAUCUGACGUUGAGGCACGAAAGCGUGGGGAGCAAACAGGAUGAGAUACCCAGGUAGUC
RNAcentral lists this ribosomal RNA (460 nucleotides) under uncultured bacterium. RNAcentral describes it as "partial 16S ribosomal RNA". It matches the Rfam family "Bacterial small subunit ribosomal RNA", at positions 338 to 795 of the family's 1533-position model. The record is from RNAcentral.